AUGGCGCACAGGGUCCUGGAGCUGACGCUCGUCUCGGCGAGCAACCUGAAGGACGUCAACGUGUUCAGCCGCAUGGAGGUGUACGCCAUCACGUCCGUGUUCGGCGACCCUCGCACGCGGCGGUGCAGCCAGACCGACCGCGACGGCGCCAGGCACCCGACGUGGGACGAUACGUUCACGUUCACCGUCCCGCCCACGCCCGCCAAGGCCGCCGCCGCGGGAGCCUACCUCCACGUGCUCCUCCGCACCGAGCGCCUCUUCGGCCUCGAGGACCGCGACGUCGGCGAGGUGUUCAUCCCUGUCGCCGACCUGCUGGCCUGCGCCUGCGUGGGCGGCCCGCCGCGGCGUGAGUCGUACCCGGUCCGGAAGGUGCACUGCACCGAGCAUCGGGGCAUGCUCACCGUAGCGUACCACUUCGGCCCCGUGAUGGUGCCGCUGGCCCAGGACGAAGGGUUGUGCUGGGACGAGGCCGCGGUGGUGGGGUACGAGCUGCCGCCGUGGCAGUACUGUCCUCCGACGUACGUCUACGCGCCGGAGGCGGCGGUGCCGCGCUACCCUCAGGCGUGUGCUCGCAUGCCGCCGGCGCCCAAGCCAGCUGCCGGCUGUGGCACGGCCGCCGCGUCGCCAGCGCAGAAGAAUUAUUGCGUAAGGAACGGCAGCUUCGCGCUGGGGCUCGGCGCGGGGCUGCUCGGCGGAGGCUUCGGGGGGAUGGUGUUCGGCGACAUGCCGCCGUCGGACAAGGCGGCUCACAACUCCGGGUACAAGCCCACGGCCGCCGACGGCGCAGGAGUUGCCUUCUGA
RNAcentral lists this ribosomal RNA (801 nucleotides) under Triticum aestivum (bread wheat). RNAcentral's name for it is "partial small subunit ribosomal RNA". The record is from RNAcentral. Lineage: Eukaryota; Viridiplantae; Streptophyta; Magnoliopsida; Poales; Poaceae.